Molecule: transfer RNA, 61 nt
Filed under: Caprella mutica
Lineage: Eukaryota; Metazoa; Arthropoda; Malacostraca; Amphipoda; Caprellidae
Description: tRNA-Asp
Source: RNAcentral
UAAAAACUAGUUAAACUAUAACAUUAGCUUGUCAAGCUAAAAUUACUAAAAGUGUUUUUAA